RNAcentral lists this long non-coding RNA (587 nucleotides) under Arabidopsis lyrata. RNAcentral describes it as "long non-coding RNA (ALYR_LNC000581)". The record is from RNAcentral. Lineage: Eukaryota; Viridiplantae; Streptophyta; Magnoliopsida; Brassicales; Brassicaceae.
AGAUGACUUAGCUUAUGAACAGAGACAAGUAUUUUUCAGGUUUAAGAUGGGUUUGUACACAAUAAGAUGGGGAAAGACGUCUCUUGAAGGUUACGGAUCUAAACAUAAGCUUUUCUCGGGUUCAAAUCUCAUGUGUUACAAUUUUUUUAAAAAAUUGAAAUCUAAGUACCAAAACGACGUCGUUUAAAUGAAGACGAUGCCACCUCAUUAUACAUGUGUCAUCUGAGUCAGCUUUCGUUAAAGUUGACUAACAUCCGCUAACGCGGACUCUUAAUUACGCACGAAAUAAGAAGUUCGGGUAUGAAAUUUGAAAUUUUUAUGCGUUUGGGUAUGAAUUAACACUGCAUAUUUGUACAAGUAGGAAAAUGCACUUUGCGAAUUGCACGGAUAUGAAAAUACCUUUUUCCCGGGUUUGUACACAACAAGAUGGGGAAAGACGUCUCUUGAAGGUUACGAAUCUAAACAUAAGCUUUUCUCUUUUUUAAAAAACUUUUUUACUCAAAGUUGAAAAGUUUUUCUCCUGUUUAUUGAGAGUUGGAAGCUUUCAUUUAGACGAUGUUUUGUAUGUUAGAAGUUCAAAAGUGAAA